RNAcentral lists this ribosomal RNA (250 nucleotides) under uncultured bacterium. Its description in RNAcentral is "partial 16S ribosomal RNA". It matches the Rfam family "Bacterial small subunit ribosomal RNA", at positions 28 to 285 of the family's 1533-position model. The record is from RNAcentral.
GACGAACGCUGGCUGCGUGCUUAACACAUGCAAGUGGAGCGACGAACCAGGGCUUGCCCUGGGGCAGAGCCGCGAACGGGUGAGUAACACGUGGGUUACCUGCCUCGAUGACCGGGACAACCCGAGGAAACUCGGGCUAAUACCGGAUGUGCCCGCAAGGGGAAAGGAAGCUUCGGCCUCCGCAUCGAGAUGGGCCCGCGGCCCAUUAGCUUGUUGGUGAGGUAACGGCUCACCAAGGCUUCGAUGGGUA